GCCCGCCUAGCUCAAUCGGAUAGAGCGUCAGACUCUUACUAUAAGAGUCCAUCUGAAGGCUGCGAGUUCGACCCUCGCGGUGGGCU
Laetiporus sulphureus 93-53 is the source of this 86-nucleotide transfer RNA. It matches the Rfam family "tRNA". From Rfam's summary of the family: Transfer RNA (tRNA) molecules are approximately 80 nucleotides in length. Lineage: Eukaryota; Fungi; Basidiomycota; Agaricomycetes; Polyporales; Laetiporaceae. The record is from Rfam.